RNAcentral lists this ribosomal RNA (406 nucleotides) under uncultured bacterium. RNAcentral's name for it is "partial 16S ribosomal RNA". It matches the Rfam family "Bacterial small subunit ribosomal RNA", at positions 29 to 526 of the family's 1533-position model. The record is from RNAcentral.
AUUGAACGCUGGCGGCAGGCCUAACACAUGCAAGUCGAGCGAGCGGCGGACGGGUGAGUAAUGUCUGGGAAACUGCCUGAUGGAGGGGGAUAACUACUGGAAAAGCUAGCUAAUAACGCAUACCAUCAGAUGUGCCCAGAUGGGCUUAGCUAGUAGGGGGGGUAACGGCUCACCUAGGCGACGAUCCCUAGCUGGUCUGAGAGGGUGACCAGCCACACUGGAACUGAGACACGGUCCAGACUCCUACGGGAGGCAGCAGGGGGGAAUAUUGCACAAUGGGCGAAAGCCUGAUGCAGCCAUGCCGCGUGGGUGAAGAAGGCCUUCGGGUUGUAAAGCACUUUCAGCGGGGAGGCGUUACCCGCAGAAGAAGCACCGGCUAACUCCGUGCCAGCAGCCGCGGUAAUUC